This 349-nucleotide ribosomal RNA is filed under the name uncultured bacterium. RNAcentral's name for it is "partial 16S ribosomal RNA". It matches the Rfam family "Bacterial small subunit ribosomal RNA", at positions 338 to 685 of the family's 1533-position model. The record is from RNAcentral.
CCUACGGGGGGCAGCAGAGAGGAAUAUUGGUCAAUGGGCGGGAGCCGGAACCAGCCAAGUCGCGUGAAGGAAGAAGGUACUGAGGAUUGUAAACUUCUUUUGUCGGGGAACAAAGGCGGAGACGCGUCACCGGAUGAGUGUACCCGAAGAAAAAGCAUCGGCUAACUCCGUGCCAGCAGCCGCGGUAAUACGGAGGAUGCGAGCGUUAUCCGGAUUUAUUGGGUUUAAAGGGUGCGCAGGAGGGAGAUCAAGUCAGCGGUAAAAUGUCGGGGCUCAACCCCGGCCGGCCGGUGAAACUGGUUUUCUCGAGUUGGCGCGAAGUCUGCGGACUUCUUGGUGUAGCGGUGCC